UGCAGUCGAGCGAAUGGAUUAAGAGCUUGCUCUUAUGAAGUUAGCGGCGGACGGGUGAGUAACACGUGGGUAACCUGCCCAUAAGACUGGGAUAACUCCGGGAAACCGGGGCUAAUACCGGAUAACAUUUUGAACCGCAUGGUUCGAAAUUGAAAGGCGGCUUCGGCUGUCACUUAUGGAUGGACCCGCGUCGCAUUAGCUAGUUGGUGAGGUAACGGCUCACCAAGGCAACGAUGCGUAGCCGACCUGAGAGGGUGAUCGGCCACACUGGGACUGAGACACGGCCCAGACUCCUACGGGAGGCAGCAGUAGGGAAUCUUCCGCAAUGGACGAAAGUCUGACGGAGCAACGCCGCGUGAGUGAUGAAGGCUUUCGGGUCGUAAAACUCUGUUGUUAGGGAAGAACAAGUGCUAGUUGAAUAAGCUGGCACCUUGACGGUACCUAACCAGAAAGCCACGGCUAACUACGUGCCAGCAGCCGCGGUAAUACGUAGGUGGCAAGCGUUAUCCGGAAUUAUUGGGCGUAAAGCGCGCGCAGGUGGUUUCUUAAGUCUGAUGUGAAAGCCCACGGCUCAACCGUGGAGGGUCAUUGGAAACUGGGAGACUUGAGUGCAGAAGAGGAAAGUGGAAUUCCAUGUGUAGCGGUGAAAUGCGUAGAGAUAUGGAGGAACACCAGUGGCGAAAGCGACUUUCUGGUCUGUAACUGACACUGA
RNAcentral lists this ribosomal RNA (712 nucleotides) under Bacillus anthracis (anthrax bacterium). Its description in RNAcentral is "bacterial SSU rRNA". It matches the Rfam family "Bacterial small subunit ribosomal RNA", at positions 56 to 749 of the family's 1533-position model. The record is from RNAcentral. Lineage: Bacteria; Bacillati; Bacillota; Bacilli; Caryophanales; Bacillaceae.